ACACCGAAUUGGAAAAUUGAGUGGGGGGAACGGGUGGAGUAACUAACGUGGGGUAAACCUAGCCCCAAAAAGAAGGGGGGAGUAACACUUGGAAACAGGUGCUAAUACCGCAUAACCAUGAUGACCGCAUGGUCAUUAUGUAAAAGAUGGUUUCGGCUAUCACUUUUGGAUGGACCCGCGGCGUAUUAACUUGUUGGUGGGGUAACGGCCUACCAAGGUAAUGAUACGUAGCCGAACUGAGAGGUUGAUCGGCCACAUUGGGACUGAGACACGGCCCAAACUCCUACGGGAGGCAGCAGUAGGGAAUCUUCCACAAUGGGCGCAAGCCUGAUGGAGCAACGCCGCGUGAGUGAAGAAGGUCUUCGGAUCGUAAAACUCUGUUGUUAGAGAAGAACAUGCGAGAGAGUAACUGUUCUUGUAUUGACGGUAUCUAACCAGAAAGCCACGGCUAACUACGUGCC
Molecule: ribosomal RNA, 461 nt
Filed under: uncultured bacterium
Lineage: Bacteria
Description: bacterial SSU rRNA
Rfam family: Bacterial small subunit ribosomal RNA
Source: RNAcentral